GUCCUCUUGAAUUUAAUUUGAGGUUUGACCUGCCCACUGAAAUUUUAAAUGGCCGCAGUAUUUUGACUGUGCAAAGGUAGCAUAAUCAUUAGUUUUUUAAUUAAAAGCUUGUAUGAAGGGUUGGACGAGGUAAAAUCUGUCUCUAUAAAAUUUAUAUUAGAAUUUAAUUUUUAAGUUAAAAAGCUUAAAUAUAAUUAAAAGACGAGAAGACCCUAUAGAUCUUUAUAUUAUUUAAUUUAAUUUUAUUAUAGAAUUUUUAAUUUAUUAAUUUAAAUAAUAUUUUAUUGGGGUAAUAAAAAGAUUAAAUAAAUUCUUUUAAAAUUAUACAUUGAUUUAUGAUUAAUUGAUCCAAUUUUUUUGAUUGUAAGAUUAAGUUACCUUAGGGAUAACAGCGUAAUUUUUUUGGAGAGUUCUUAUCGAUAAAAAAGUUUGCGA
RNAcentral lists this ribosomal RNA (435 nucleotides) under Graphoderus liberus. Its description in RNAcentral is "partial 16S ribosomal RNA". The record is from RNAcentral. Lineage: Eukaryota; Metazoa; Arthropoda; Insecta; Coleoptera; Dytiscidae.